Molecule: long non-coding RNA, 2999 nt
Organism: Xenia sp. Carnegie-2017
Lineage: Eukaryota; Metazoa; Cnidaria; Anthozoa; Malacalcyonacea; Xeniidae
Exons: 9
Source: RefSeq, a predicted model, not a curated record
UAUUAUUCAGUCCCCCCUUGAGUACUUGACUACGGUUGACAACUUGUAUGUAAACAGGCUUUCACCAAUCUCUAUCAAUGAUAAAAUUAUAGAAGUUGUGGGCAAUUUUGAAUGUUCUUUUCAGCAUUGAUCUAAUGUGGAACAAGCAUGUAGCAAGUGUGGUUUUAAAAUCAAGAGCAGGAAGAACCUAGACAAAAGCAGAGUGAAAGCUGAUGAAAAGGCAGUGGUAGAUGUGAUGAGGAGUAUAGACAGACACCAUGAUAAAUCCUUUCCAAGAAGAAUAUAAAGAACAUGUGCACCUGGCAAGUGGGGCAGUUGCAACAGGCGAAGGGUGAAAUCAAAGCUGUAAAUUACAAGAGGACAAACAUUGUCGAAGGAACACCAAAUAUUUACGUUAUUAUAAGGAAAACAAACUUGAAAACUUUCUCACAUCUUGGGAAAAAAGUAAUAAAGAAAAGAAAAAAUGGAGAUGUAGCGUCCUUGAAAAUUCGAAAGCCUUAUUCACCAAAGUGUUGUUGAUUGCCAGAACAACAACAAAUAACGCAAUUUGCGUAUGGAAGAUGUUAUAAAAUAUUCUCUUCGGCCUUUCGUAGUUCUUUAGCCAUAUGUGAUGGAGAACGUCAAAAGCCAAGCUGCUGCACGCUAUUGAACGAGAUGUAACCAAUGCAACAGUUACAAAUUUAUUUUCUCUUGACACAGCUUUUAUUUUGGACGGAAUGGCUAUGCUACAAACCUUAACAGUUCUUCCUAAAACAUUUCGAGAGAUGUCGACACUGGUGCUGGAGAAGACUGUAGACGCUGCUCUACGUUUAGAGCCCCACAGACGAGCCAACAUCAGCGAUGUCCAGUUGGUGCUAAUACACGGUGGAGAUCAAAAGCUUCCUCGACAAUGAGAUCAAAAGCUUCCUCGACAAUGAGAUCAAAAGCUUUCUUGACAUUUUAUUGAAUUGGGAACUGGCAACAAUAGGCAAAUAAUUUCCCUUCCCAACAUGAUAAAUGGUCUUGGGGAGCACUGAUGUAAAGCUCUAUUUGGCUUUCACGCAUUUACAGGUUAGAAGCGAUAAAGUAAAAUAAAACUGAGAAUUUGUAAGUAAAGUUGUGACACAAUUAGUUCAUUUUACGGUAAAGGCAGAGUUACAGUUCUCCAGACGGCAAGAAAGAAGGAAAACUAUGCAGAUGUUUUUGGGAGUCUAGGAAGAGAAGCAACAUUAUCCAACGAAUUAAUUGAGAAUUUGCACGCUUAUGUAUGCCACUUGUAUGGAUACGAAGAAUGCGCAGAUGUUAAUUACGUCCCAUAUCAAGUGUUGAAAAGAGGGAAAUUUAGUGAAGAGAUAUUGCCACCAAACGAAGAUUCGCUUAAUCAACAUAUUCGGAGAGCCAACUUCCAAAGCUACAUAUGGUGUCAUGCAGUGUAGCCUAUAUUAAAUCUUCUGUCAGUUUCUAAUCACGGUUGGAAAAUAGAAAAAGAGGACGUUGUGGUUGAUAGGAUGACAAUGCGUCCUGCUCCAGACUCAUUGCUAGAAACUCUCCACUGUAGAUGUACGAAAGGCUGCGAGAACAGAAAGUGUUCUUGCGUAAAAUCAUUGCUAAAAUGCUGGGACUUGUGCCACUGCACUAAUUGACAAAACUUUGCAGAGUGUUUUCUUGAAAACGACGAGUUUGAUUCGGACAUUUUUCAUGCAUGCGAUGAUUUCAGUUCUGAAGUAAAUAGUGAUAAUAAUUUAUAAGUAUUUCCAUUUGGUAAUAUGACAAUGACAAGCAUAUCGACAGGAUUGGGGUCUAUCAAAUGGCACACUUCCAAAAAUCUCCCAAUCAUAAAUAAAAAGGUUCGUAGCUUUGUCUUAGCUUGUUCAUGGGACGAUCAUGAUGAGAGAUAAUAAAUUGGUUAAAAGUACGUGUCGAAGACGGCCAAGUCACUUGAUUUCUGAGUCGAUCUCGCGUCGUGUGUGGUAUGGAAUUCUUCGAAGAAGUUUUUGGCUUUUAGUAUUUGUGACGAAUUGGUUGCAAGAUAGUAAAUGUUUAGAGACAGCAAACAUUUUAAAAGAAUGAGCGAAAUGGGAAAUUUAUGUGUCUCUAUGUAACCUUUGGCGAAUUGUAAGGACUCGAACAGUUAAAAAAGUGUGGGAUUCGUUUUGAUGAAAUACUUGGGAAAGAUGGACAAAAAGUAAUGAAUGAUAUUGUCGAUUUCAUUAAAUGCUUCAAAUUCGACAAGCUUUUAAAAGAUUGAGGGGAAUGGCAAUUUGUCGUGUGUCAAUCAGUCAAAAAAGUGUUUAAAUCAUGCUAUGAAAUAUUUGCAGAGAAGUUGGACUUAAAGAGGAAUGAAAAGUUUGAAAGAUUGAGCGACAUGGCAAUUUUAUUGAAAGUUAUUGGCAACUUGACGAAGUGUUUGAAUCAUAUACAUUGAUUAUUUGCAGAAAAAAUGAGGACAAACGUAUUGAACGAUACUAUGGAUUUUAUUUACUAAAUUUGACUAAAUGUGUCUUCAAUAUUUUAGAGGAAAGAAAAUGGUGAAAACAUCGAACGAAAUACAAAUUUUGUGAGAAACAUGGACAGGUUGCGGCGUUUCGUACCGUUUACGGAGAUGAGCUGUUUAGCAGGUAUUUAGACCCUUUGUGAUGAGGAACAUUGAAGAAUUCAAAUCAGCGUUCAAAAGAUGUUUACGUGAAGCAGUUGAAGAUUGUCUUACCCAUAAUUUGAUGGUUAUCGAAGAAUAUAAAAGAACGCAUUCCAAUCUAGCACGAAUUGGACGAAAUGUUCAAGAUGACAGAAAAGUUAGAAGGCCAGUUCAAAAAGUCUGAAAAUAGUUUGGCGACUAUUUAAAAAUUGGAGCAGCUACUUAUGUACAUAUAAAACCAUCCUAGCUUAGUGCCUGCAUUUUUGGCCUCUUUCGAGACCAAAACUACAUGCAUCAUGAAUGUGUUCACUUGCGGAAGUUUUUGUUUAUUAUCAAAUAUGUUGACGAGGAAAUAAUGCGUAAACUAUAGCCUUUUGGGUGAAAA